GUAGCAGCGGGCGGCAGCCGCCGAGGCAGCAAUGUCAGGAGGGCACAGCUGGAGGAGGCGGCCGCCAAAGCCACUACCCCACCCCCAGGAAGAUUUGGAAAAGAGGCACUGGCUACUGGAGGAAGGGAGAAAUCACCGAGAGAGCGAAAGAUGUAACAGAAACAGGCUCUUGUUCUGUCACCCAUACUUGGAGUGCAGUGGUACAAUGAUAGCUCACUGCAGCCUCAAACUCCUGGUCUCAAGCAAUCCUCUCACCUCAGCCUCCCAGAUGCAGUGACUCAUGCCUAUAAUCCCAGUACUUUGGAAGGUCAAGGCACAAGGAUCCAUUGAGGCCAGGAGUCCAAGACCAGCCUGCACAAUGUAGCAAGACUCCUUCUCUACAAAAAAAUAAAUAAAAAUUAGCCAGGCAUGGUGGUGCACUCCUGUAGUCCCAGCUACUCAAGAGGCUGAUGUAGAGAAUCGCAUUAUCCCAGAGGUCAAGGCUGCAGUGAGCCGUGAUCAUGCCUCUGCACUCCAGCCUGGACGAUAGAGCAAG
This 535-nucleotide long non-coding RNA is filed under the name Homo sapiens (human). RNAcentral's name for it is "RABGAP1L divergent transcript". The record is from RNAcentral. Lineage: Eukaryota; Metazoa; Chordata; Mammalia; Primates; Hominidae.